RNAcentral lists this ribosomal RNA (253 nucleotides) under uncultured bacterium. RNAcentral describes it as "partial 16S ribosomal RNA". It matches the Rfam family "Bacterial small subunit ribosomal RNA", at positions 524 to 776 of the family's 1533-position model. The record is from RNAcentral.
UACAGAGGUCCCGAGCGUUGUUCGGAUUUAUUGGGCGUAAAGGGUGCGUAGGCGGCGGUGUAAGUUGGGUGUGAAAUCCCGGGGCUCAACCUCGGAAUGGCAUUCAAUACUGCUUCGCUAGAGUACUGGAGAGGAGGCUGGAAUUUACGGUGUAGCAGUGAAAUGCGUAGAUAUCGUAAGGAAGGCCGGUGGCGAAAGCGAGCCUCUGGACAGUUACUGACGCUGAUGCACGAAGGCCAGGGGAGCAAACGGG